AAAAAGACAAACCCUGGGUUUCCGUGUCCAACGUUUGACUUCCCGUCUUAUAUAAUUUUUUUUAUAAUUAGUAUUUUUUAUUGUUGUUAGAUGAUAAAACAUGAUUAAUACUUUAUGCAUGACUUGUCUUUUUAAUUUUUUCUAUAUUUUUUUUAAAUAAGACGGAUGGUCAAACGUUAGACACGUAAACUCAGGGUUUGUCUUUUU
Molecule: non-coding RNA, 207 nt
Organism: Oryza barthii
Lineage: Eukaryota; Viridiplantae; Streptophyta; Magnoliopsida; Poales; Poaceae
Source: Rfam